Molecule: ribosomal RNA, 512 nt
Filed under: Articulospora tetracladia
Lineage: Eukaryota; Fungi; Ascomycota; Leotiomycetes; Helotiales; Discinellaceae
Description: eukaryotic LSU rRNA
Rfam family: 5.8S ribosomal RNA (bases 170-323)
Source: RNAcentral
AAGGAUCAUUACAGAGUUCAUGCCCUCACGGGUAGAUCUCCCACCCUUGAAUAUUAUACCUUAGUUGCUUUGGCAGGCCGUGGAAACACCACGGGCUUUGGCUUGUGCGUGCCUGCCAGAGGAAACAAACUCUGUUUUUAGUGAUGUCUGAGUACUAUAUAAUAGUUAAAACUUUCAACAACGGAUCUCUUGGUUCUGGCAUCGAUGAAGAACGCAGCGAAAUGCGAUAAGUAAUGUGAAUUGCAGAAUUCAGUGAAUCAUCGAAUCUUUGAACGCACAUUGCGCCCUGUGGUAUUCCGCAGGGCAUGCCUGUUCGAGCGUCAUUUCAACCCAUCAAGCUUACGCUUGGUAUUGGGGCCUGCGGUUUCGCAGCCUCUAAACUCAGUGGCGGUGCAACUGAGCUCUGAGCGUAGUAAUUUUUCUCGCUAUAGGGUCUCGGUUGUGACUUGCCAGCAACCCCCAAUUUUUAUCAGGUUGACCUCGGAUCAGGUAGGGAUACCCGCUGAACUUAA